UUAAAAAAUAUAUAUAUAAAGUGUUGUGCUUUGUUUGAAAGAACAUAUAAACUAAAAGCUUUGUUUGAUCACACGAGUAAGAAUGUUAAAACAUAUAUACCAUUUAAAUGGUUAUAUCUAGCCAAAAUAAUAUGCAGCAUACCGUAGGUAAUACAAGAAAAAUAUUAAAAAUAUUACCUAAGAUUAGAAGCUACUUGGUCAGCCAUUAUCUUUACACCAUGGACCUUAAGGCCCGUGUGUUUUACAUAUAUAAGAGAGAAAAAAGAAAUGAUUUGGAAACUCAAGCCUCAUUGGUCGGCCACCCCAUCCUCGAUCUGCUUGAGCCCUUGGUCACCAUCAGGGUUUAGGGAGAUCUCUAGACCAAGACUCUUUGGGGAAGUAGCAGGAGCAGCCUCGUCCUCCCCAUGACCAAUACACUUUGUAAUUAGGCACUCAACCUUAAUAAAAAAAUUGGGACAUUACAGGGCUUGUCACAGUCGGCGAUCAACGAUUCCGAUGUGGGAGGUCCUUUAGCUCCUUGGACGACCAACUCAUUUUCAUGGGAUUUUUGUGAUACUUUGGAGCUUUUAGAGGUCGUCGCCCCAGGACCAUCUCAGCACAGAGGGAGUCUUCUUGAUCCUCGUUGCACUGUUCGUUCCCUUGUUAGGGGGAUAUCCUUUCGACUCUGACUGCGAAAAAGCUUGCGUAUAUGCUUUUCUUCUCCAAUGAUCCAUGUGGUCACAAGCUUGAUAUAGAAGAUGAGGCGUUAGUGGGGUUCAUCCUAGAGAACUAGGCCAGUCCGAGUUCUCUUGAUUCCCAUCCGAGUGGAGGGGAGCCUACUAAUGGGCCUUCUUUCAUAGAUUUGUUGGGUAUUUAGUGCCCACUUGUUGCCAAAGCAAUUUAUUUGGGCUUAUCUAUGUGACGUUAGGGUUUUGCUUCUGCCUCAUCUUACUGUUUGAUUACUGAAUUGCAAGACCCAUGGACCCAUCAGAGUUCUUUUCUCAGCCCUUGAUCAUUCCAGGGGGUUCCAGAAGGCAAAAGAAAUGACCUUUGACCCAGAGUCAAUCUCACGAGAAAGCAAAGAGGGUCAGGAUCCGACCUCCAGCUGCUGCUCCCUCUAGUACUGCUCCACUGGAUCUUCUUCCAGAGAGCGCUUAGUGUCAUACGGUGUCAGCGCACACAUUUCCUUUUGCAAUAGCAACUUCUUCAGAGUUGCUACCUCAAGCGCCUCUUCUGACAGGUGUUAGCAUGGCGAGAGGGAUGUUGGAGUCCAUAGCAUUGGGCCCAUGCCUCCUCCAAAAUUGGCCAUCAGUGACCACUUGCUCUUCUAUGGACUUGUCGCACCAACAGAUGGAAAAUAAGAUGGCACUGACUGAUGUGAAUCUACAUCGCCAGCUUGAGCGAGAGGCUGAAGAUCUUAGAAGACCCAUUCAAAUCUCAAGAGCAUCCUUUUUGACCAUGAGAGCUCUCGUACUACUCUCGUUGCCUCUAAACAAAGUUAUUGAGUUCGCUGAUGAGGAUGGCACCGAUCAAGUUUCCCCGAAAUGAGUCAGUUCUGAGGGAAUUGUAACUGUUGAGGCUUCUAUCGACAGAGUGGCCACUGGAAAGGGCCCUACUAGCGAGGGAUUUACUGGCGUGGACGCUGCUGGCGAGGGUGAUCGCUCCACCGAACCUGCAUAGCCUUCUCAUCGCUGUUUUUCUUUAUUUUUGUUGUUCUUUACAUUAAGCUAUGCUCCCAUCUGUAUGAACACUGGCCUUAACAUGGCCGCUUUAUGUGCUUGAUGUUGCUUUCCAAAAGAUUCUGAAUUUUUCCU
Molecule: long non-coding RNA, 1793 nt
Organism: Humulus lupulus (European hop)
Lineage: Eukaryota; Viridiplantae; Streptophyta; Magnoliopsida; Rosales; Cannabaceae
Exons: 2
Source: RefSeq, a predicted model, not a curated record